GACGAACGCUGGCGGCGUGCCUAAUACAUGCAAGUAGAACGCUGAAGGAGGAGCUUGCUUCUCUGGAUGAGUUGCGAACGGGUGAGUAACGCGUAGGUAACCUGCCUGGUAGCGGGGGAUAACUAUUGGAAACGAUAGCUAAUACCGCAUAAGAGUAGAUGUUGCAUGACAUUUGCUUAAAAGGUGCAACUGCAUCACUACCAGAUGGACCUGCGUUGUAUUAGCUAGUUGGUGGGGUAACGGCUCACCAAGGCGACGAUACAUAGCCGACCUGAGAGGGUGAUCGGCCACACUGGGACUGAGACACGGCCCAGACUCCUACGGGAGGCAGCAGUAGGGAAUCUUCGGCAAUGGACGGAAGUCUGACCGAGCAACGCCGCGUGAGUGAAGAAGGUUUUCGGAUCGUAAAGCUCUGUUGUAAGAGAAGAACGAGUGUGAGAGUGGAAAGUUCACACUGUGACGGUAUCUUACCAGAAAGGGACGGCUAACUACGUGCCAGCAGCCGCGGUAAUACGUAGGUGGCAAGCGUUAUCCGGAUUUAUUGGGCGUAAAGAGAGUGCAGGCGGUUUUCUAAGUCUGAUGUGAAAGCCUUCGGCUUAACCGGAGAAGUGCAUCGGAAACUGGAUAACUUGAGUGCAGAAGAGGGUAGUGGAACUCCAUGUGUAGCGGUGGAAUGCGUAGAUAUAUGGAAGAACACCAGUGGCGAAGGCGGCUACCUGGUCUGCAACUGACGCUGAGACUCGAAAGCAUGGGUAGCGAACAGG
RNAcentral lists this ribosomal RNA (764 nucleotides) under uncultured Streptococcus sp. Its description in RNAcentral is "bacterial SSU rRNA". It matches the Rfam family "Bacterial small subunit ribosomal RNA", at positions 28 to 776 of the family's 1533-position model. Lineage: Bacteria; Bacillati; Bacillota; Bacilli; Lactobacillales; Streptococcaceae. The record is from RNAcentral.